GCGGUUCCGGUUCACGCCAUACAGGGCCGGCCCGUCCCAUGACGGGUGACCUGGCGACCCGGCGACC
This 67-nucleotide non-coding RNA is filed under the name unclassified sequences. The record is from Rfam.